This 82-nucleotide microRNA precursor is filed under the name Bombyx mori (domestic silkworm). RNAcentral describes it as "mir-2807 microRNA precursor family". It matches the Rfam family "mir-2807 microRNA precursor family". The record is from Rfam by way of RNAcentral. Lineage: Eukaryota; Metazoa; Arthropoda; Insecta; Lepidoptera; Bombycidae.
UCGACUCAUUUGUAAGGAAUGGGAUCGUUUGCCUACGUUUGCCGCUAGGGGCGCUGUUCCAACUGCAUACAAAAUUGGGUUA